AGUGAACGCUGGCGGUAGGCCUAACACAUGCAAGUCGAACGGCAGCACAGUAAGAGCUUGCUCUUACGGGUGGCGAGUGGCGGACGGGUGAGGAAUACAUCGGAAUCUACUUUUUCGUGGGGGAUAACGUAGGGAAACUUACGCUAAUACCGCAUACGACCUACGGGUGAAAGCAGGGGAUCUUCGGACCUUGCGCGAUUGAAUGAGCCGAUGUCGGAUUAGCUAGUUGGCGGGGUAAAGGCCCACCAAGGCGACGAUCCGUAGCUGGUCUGGGUGGAUGAUCAGCCACACUGGAACGUGGACACGGUCCAGACUCCUACGGGAGGCAGCAGUGGGGAAUAUUGGACAAUGGGCGCAAGCCUGAUCCAGCCAUACCGCGUGGGUGAAGAAGGCCUUCGGGUUGUAAAGCCCUUUUGUUGGGAAAGAAAAGCAGCAGGUUAAUACCCCGCUGUUCUGACGGUACCCAAAGAAUAAGCACCGGCUAACUUCGUG
RNAcentral lists this ribosomal RNA (492 nucleotides) under uncultured bacterium. RNAcentral describes it as "partial 16S ribosomal RNA". It matches the Rfam family "Bacterial small subunit ribosomal RNA", at positions 29 to 507 of the family's 1533-position model. The record is from RNAcentral.